Molecule: ribosomal RNA, 440 nt
Filed under: uncultured bacterium
Lineage: Bacteria
Description: bacterial SSU rRNA
Rfam family: Bacterial small subunit ribosomal RNA
Source: RNAcentral
AACGCGAAGAACCUUACCAAGGUUUGACAUGGACCGAAAACUCAUGGAGACAUGGGGUCCUUCGGGGCGGUUCACAGGUGGUGCAUGGCUGUCGUCAGCUCGUGUCGUGAGAUGUUGGGUUAAGUCCCGCAACGAGCGCAACCCUCGUCCAAUGUUGCCAGCGGGUUAUGCCGGGGACUCAUUGGAGACUGCCGGGGUCAACUCGGAGGAAGGUGGGGAUGACGUCAAGUCAUCAUGCCCCUUAUGUCUUGGGCUGCAAACAUGCUACAAUGGCCGGUACAGAGGGCUGCGAACCUGUGAGGGUAAGCGAAUCCCGGAAAGCCGGUCUCAGUUCGGAUCGGGGUCUGCAACUCGGCCCCGUGAAGCCGGAGUCGCUAGUAAUCGCGGAUCAGCAACGCCGCGGUGAAUACGUUCCCGGGCCUUGUACACACCGAGACGUA